CAAUCACGACCGGAUGCUGAGCCCACGGCCCACAGCGACCACAUACACACUAAGAGUCCAGGUAUGUUGAUAUUAUCUCCAGCUGAUAAUAUCUAUUACCACUGGCUCCUCAUCAUCUCGACUGCUGUGCUCUACAACUGGUGUCUGCUGGUGGCCAGGGCAUGUUUUGAUGAGCUUCCGACGAGUGGUGCCAUCGUGUGG
This is a non-coding RNA of Salvelinus sp. IW2-2015, 201 nucleotides long. The record is from RefSeq and is a predicted model, not a curated record. Lineage: Eukaryota; Metazoa; Chordata; Actinopteri; Salmoniformes; Salmonidae.